CGCCCUAUAGCAAAAACCUCUAAAAAAAAAAAUUAGUACAGGAAAACCAGUUUUGGCAAUGAUUUUGUAAACAAGGAGCAAAGACUGUCCUAAGUUGAAAUCACUUUUAAAAGCCCGAACUCCUAGACAGGAUCAAUACACGAGCAGACGGAAUGUGUUCUGUUCACUGAGCACUUCUUACAAGUAUCAGCCAAGCUGGGGGAGAACAUCCUUUACCACCUCAGAGCUGGUUGUGAGCACCCACUCUGGCUAGGGACGAUUCUGUGAACACACCUUGCUGCAAUAUGUAACAAGAUGAAUCUUAACACUCUUGCUUCAUCAUCACAGCUAACCAUCACUCCUUCUGGAAGUCAGUAUUUCCCAAGCAGUGUGCACGGGCCCCUCUCUUCCUGUGACACGCUCCCUUCACAGGCCCUCCCCUUUCACAGACAUCACAUCUCAUCUCCCACCUCCACGCACUCCCUGGAUGAACAAAGUCUCCAAGCCACAGCUGCCGUGUGGGCAGGAUGCCCACCUCCAACACACGCCGUCCACAUCUGCAGAUGAAACUCGAGGAACAACCCGUGGUCCCCACAGACCUCCUGCCACUCUGUAGGUCAGUAAGACUUACAAAUACAGUUAGAGAGAAUGCUAAGUCCUCUCUCCCUAAACAAAGGUCAACAAUGAACUGCUUCUGUUCUCCUUGGGAAAGCAGCCUCCUGUCUGAUCCUGGAGUUUAUGUUUAUGAAAAGACAACCUCUGACAACUGAAUUUUUCACAGACCCGGUCCCUAGAACAGCUGACGGUGGGGAGUUUUUCUCAGUUACAAAUGAGAAGCAACAGCUCAGAAAGGUCGCGGCCUUUUCUUCUUUCUUUUAUUUUUUUUAAGAGGCAUUUUGCCUUAGGGUAUGUGCGCUGUGUGUGUGUGUGUGUGUGUGUGUGUGUACCAUAGACAGAGAGGGAAUGGUGAAAAAUCACCAUCCCCCAGGGGACGGGGAUGGCCGUGCUCCAAUGCCGUUUCCUCUUCUGUCUCCAGGAUCUCGGGCACCCACGUGCACAUGCACACGCACCAGUAUGAGUUUCAAGUCACCAGGUCUGAGACUUGAACCAUGGUCAGCCAUGUGGGAGUCCAGCGAUAUAACCACUAUGCCAUCUGCUGGGCCCCAAGGCCUUUUUAACGUGGUCUUGCUGGGACUUGAACCUGCCUUGAACUACUAGUAUUCGGCUUUUGAAAUCCUAGCAGGUAAAUUCUUCUGAAGGAAAAUAUCAAACAUCACCAACAACGGAGAACUCUAUUUGCACACAUAAGGACAGCCCCAUGCUCCCGUCCUGGUGGGGGUUUUUCUCAGGAAGAAAAACAGGUCUCUUUACCAUGUGGCUUAUUUUUGCACACUGAAGGGCUUUUGAUCAGAGUGACAGGGUUUCUAAAGCCCCAGACUCAGAGUCCCAAGACUGGUUUGUUUGAGUGGAGGUGAGGAGGCCCUGUCUUCUCAGCCUCUCUGAGCUGUUGCUUUCUCAUUAGUAACUGGGUUUCAAGGGGGCAAGGCCUGUUGAAGUGUUUUGUUAAACAAAAGGAAGGAGAGAACUCGCACAGCAGCCUGCAGAACCAGGCACUUGGCAGGAAGGAGGUCCACUUGUUGGUUUUUAUCACAGACCUGGCCAUCGUCAGCCCUAGCUAACUAAUGAGCUCCUCAGUGGUGGGGUUUCCCCGUAUUUGACUUUGGGGAAAUUCCCGUGCUCUCAAUAAUCAGUUAAAAACAUGCAUUUCAGAAAACCUCCUGUUGAUCGAACUUCCUCAGGUUUGAGAUAAGCCCUGCUGGCUUCCCAUCUUAAAGCGGAAAUGGAAAAUGCAGGCAGUCAGGCAGAAGGCAGUCUGCCCAUGUCCGCAGCCGUAAGCGGCUCUCGUAGGUUGCUGUUCUGUGGGCAGAGCCCCUGGGCCCCAACAGCGGCUCUGCAGCCAUGGACAUGCACAGGGUGAAUGCCCUGGUCACCGGGGCUGAUGCCCAACUUUAAAAGAAGCUCUGUGACUUGUAGGGCGGUUGAUCCAUUCCUUCCCAGGGGUCGUCACAUACCCAGGGCUCUACAGAGAGAAUGUUAGAAAGAUAAAGAUCCGGUGCUGCCCUGACCACCAGACCAGUUGGCUCCACAGCCCCCAUCAGCAGCUCUGCUCCCUCCCACCUCCAGGUCAGACCUGGGAGUAACGCCUUGGGUUUGAGAAGCCAGACAUUUGAGAGCCCUCCAAUUUUGCCUUUGGUUGCUCCUUUUGUCUCUUGAGCCAGCUGCUGCCCCCCCUCGAGUUUCUGGCCUGGUCAGUGGCUCCUCCUGACACCUGUGGCUCUGACUCGGAUGCCCUCGCCAUCUCUUGGGAGCUCCCUGGCUGGGCUGGCCUUCCAGCUCCUACAGCUGGCUUGUGGACCAGCUGGAUAAACCUGAGCCACAGUCUGUUCAGUUUCACCUCACGCUUGGGGUCAGCUCGCCGUGUGCACCAGGCAUUGUGCUUGGCACCUCACAAGCAUCCUGGGUUUUACUGUCUGUUCAUCCAGGAGGAAACUGGCUUGAAGAGGCUAGGGAGUUGCUCCCAAGUGGCCUCCCACGUUACUCCCAAGGAUCCAAAUGAAUCCUGCUACCAGGCUGUCUAGGCCCGUACCUGACUCAGCUCACACCAACAGGAUCAGAGUGACAGUCGGCACAAGUCGGCAGCCCGAUGGCCCUCCUUCCCCCACCUGUCCCCUCCCUGUCAGUGCACCCUACAAGGAGCCACCUCUCUGGGCACCACCAUCUCUCCUUACCCAUCCUCUCGGGGCUCUCAAAUAAGGGAGAACCCGCCAGCGAGCAAAUCGUAUGACAGACACUUUAGAACACAGUGAAGCAGGGAAGGAAGACGGGAGUCCCGGCCAGCACCGGCAGGCCCCGGGGCCUCACCUCUUCCUCCAAGCUGCCUGGCGUGGGACCUGGGAAUGCAACGCUGCAGCCACCCAGCUCACUGUCAGGUGCACUGGGUAGAACGUCCUGGCUAAAGAAGUGGAGCACGCACCAGUCUCGUGUUGAUCAUCCACCAGACACAGAAGCCGUGGCCGCAGCCCUGUGCAGCCGUGUCUCCUUUCUGCCCUUACGCAAACCAAUCAAAACAAGGACGAAGGCACAAACUCCAAACUGCCUUUCUCUGACAAGGCCCCAGGCUGCCUUCAAGCUGUCUUCAAGCUGUCAUCAAGAAUGCCCGUUCACCUCUGAGUGAGUUACUGGCGGCUGUUUGCGGCGAACACAGAGACUAGAUCUGUUUGCAAAGUGUCCUAUUGUAUCCAACAACAGCAGCCAGGGAGAAGUCUUUCAGUGAAGUGUUUCUU
Molecule: long non-coding RNA, 3323 nt
Organism: Tupaia belangeri chinensis (Chinese tree shrew)
Lineage: Eukaryota; Metazoa; Chordata; Mammalia; Scandentia; Tupaiidae
Exons: 3
Source: RefSeq, a predicted model, not a curated record